AAAUAAUUUGGGUUUUUACAGCCAGGGGUUACAAUUCGAUGCAAUGAAACAAUUCUAAGUUUGAGUACCACAUUGUUUUCAGUCAUUAUAAGCGAGUUGAUGCAAGUAAUGUCUUCCCUUACCUAUUUUGCCUUUGGGUGUCUUUGAAAACCACAGUGUACGGAAACUAACCGAAAUCCCAUGUUGAUUUAAAUAUUUAAAACGAUCUCAGGUCAAUAUUCUAACGUUAAACUGAGAUUACAGCACUAACUCAAUUCAUUUCAAAAUGGUCAUUUGACUGCAGUCUUUGAAGCGGUUUUUAAAACCAUUUAAAGCCACCAGGUAGCAUCAUUUUUGAUAACAAGGAAACAUGCUUUUAAAUAAGCUAUCAAGUUGGACAGAGGCGCAGACGUCAAAAAUAGAAGGGGUAAUAACUGAAUUUUAGAACUGCAAUACGUUUAUUACGAUCACGUAGUAAGAUAUUUUGGAAGCCGGUGAAUUACACUAAAUAAGAACAAAUAAUCUAAAUUGUACACGGUCUGCACCGUUAAACGUUACGCUUCUUUUAAUCUUCGAUUUUUGUAACUUGAUAGAGAUAUAACAACGGCUCUUACCUCUGAACGCCGCUCUCCCACGCCUGGGCUCUGUUAUCUGUGUCUCCGUGUCCCCUAGAGUCCCGCUACAGGAGCGCCUGUAACUCUGUCAGCCGCAUCAGCUGAGACCUCCGCAGCGACUGACUGCAGUUGGCUCAUCAGCCCUCGAUACUUGUGCUCUGCUCCAGUCUCUGCGUUCUCGCUCAGUGCCAGCCGGAUAGCUCCUGGGGUCAGCGAAACGUUAGCUGCAAGCCGGGACAAUCCUCUGCGAACGAGGAGUGGGCAGGCUUUCAUACCAACCCAAGAACAGUAACCCAAGAUGGCACCUCCUGUCUGUACUGGAGCGCUGGCAGCCUAACUUCCUGCUGGAGAGGCCAUGACCUGCUUGCAUCUGUUCCCGUAGCACGGCCUUGUGCUGAAAACACAAAACCAGAAGAAUGCAACUGCAAAUGCAGAAGAAAGAGUCUCGGUGCCAAAUUCAGAGCCUUGAAUGGGUUUUGGUAGUGGAAGAAGCUGAAGAGCAGCUGACGUAAUGCAGGAGGAGAGAAUGAGAUUGGCUCAGGAACUCAACCAACAUAAAAGAGAGAGGUUGGUGUUGUUUAUACCCCUUUUGAAUUUACAGUAGGAAGUCUGGUGCCGGACCACAGCACCAACUUGUAU
Molecule: long non-coding RNA, 1232 nt
Organism: Lepisosteus oculatus (spotted gar)
Lineage: Eukaryota; Metazoa; Chordata; Actinopteri; Semionotiformes; Lepisosteidae
Source: Ensembl